This 487-nucleotide long non-coding RNA is filed under the name Capsicum annuum. RNAcentral's name for it is "long non-coding RNA (CANN_LNC007919)". Lineage: Eukaryota; Viridiplantae; Streptophyta; Magnoliopsida; Solanales; Solanaceae. The record is from RNAcentral.
GGAGGUGGAGAGUUCACUUGCGGAGGAGGAGAAGCAGGAGGAGUGGGAGGUGGUGUAGAUGAAACGACCGGUGGUGGUGAAGCAGUUGGUGGUGGCUGAGCCGGUGGCGUUUGAGUGUUAACUGGAGGAGGAGAACUAUUGGGUGUUGGUGGAGCUUGGUUCGUGGGUGUUGGUGGUGCCUGGGUAGUGGGUGUAGGAGGAGCUUGGUUCGUGGGUGUUGGUGGUGCCUGGGUAGUGGGUGUAGGUGGUGCUUGGGUAGUAGGGGGUGUAGGAGGAGCUUGGUUAGUGGGUGUUGGUGGUGCCUGGUUAGUGGGUGUAGGUGGUGCUUGGGUAGUAGGGGGUGUUGGUGGUGCUUGAGUAGGUGUUGGUGGUCCUGGAGGUGCUUGACCACCAACUCCAGCUAUGAUAAUGCAGAUCAUAAAUCCCAACGAAACAGCAUUAUUCCUAUCCAUCAUUUUGACAAUAUAAUGGAGAGGAGGAAAUUGAA